RNAcentral lists this ribosomal RNA (1106 nucleotides) under Salmonella enterica subsp. enterica serovar Stanley. Its description in RNAcentral is "partial 23S ribosomal RNA". It matches the Rfam family "Bacterial large subunit ribosomal RNA", at positions 1163 to 2167 of the family's 2925-position model. The record is from RNAcentral. Lineage: Bacteria; Pseudomonadati; Pseudomonadota; Gammaproteobacteria; Enterobacterales; Enterobacteriaceae.
GCGGAAGAUGUAACGGGGCUAAACCAUGCACCGAAGCUGCGGCAGCGAACGUAUCACCCAAGACAACUUUACGGAGUUGACGAUUGACGGAGCGAAGCGACGUCAAAGCGUUCAUUAAAGUCGAGUUGGCUUAGGGAUACGUUCGUUGGGUAGGGGAGCGUUCUGUAAGCCGUUGAAGGUGGCCUGUGAGGGUUGCUGGAGGUAUCAGAAGUGCGAAUGCUGACAUAAGUAACGAUAAAGCGGGUGAAAAGCCCGCUCGCCGGAAGACCAAGGGUUCCUGUCCAACGUUAAUCGGGGCAGGGUGAGUCGACCCCUAAGGCGAGGCCGAAAGGCGUAGUCGAUGGGAAACGGGUUAAUAUUCCCGUACUUGGUGUUACUGCGAAGGGGGGACGGAGAAGGCUAUGUUGGCCGGGCGACGGUUGUCCCGGUUUAAGCGUGUAGGUGUGUGUUCCAGGUAAAUCCGGUUCACUUUAACACUGAGGCGUGACGACGAGGCACUACGGUGCUGAAGCAACAAAUGCCCUGCUUCCAGGAAAAGCCUCUAAGCAUCAGGUAACAUCAAAUCGUACCCCAAACCGACACAGGUGGUCAGGUAGAGAAUACCAAGGCGCUUGAGAGAACUCGGGUGAAGGAACUAGGCAAAAUGGUGCCGUAACUUCGGGAGAAGGCACGCUGACACGUAGGUGAAGUGAUUUACUCAUGGAGCUGAAGUCAGUCGAAGAUACCAGCUGGCUGCAACUGUUUAUUAAAAACACAGCACUGUGCAAACACGAAAGUGGACGUAUACGGUGUGACGCCUGCCCGGUGCCGGAAGGUUAAUUGAUGGGGUCAGCGCAAGCGAAGCUCCUGAUCGAAGCCCCGGUAAACGGCGGCCGUAACUAUAACGGUCCUAAGGUAGCGAAAUUCCUUGUCGGGUAAGUUCCGACCUGCACGAAUGGCGUAAUGAUGGCCAGGCUGUCUCCACCCGAGACUCAGUGAAAUUGAACUCGCUGUGAAGAUGCAGUGUACCCGCGGCAAGACGGAAAGACCCCGUGAACCUUUACUAUAGCUUGACACUGAACAUUGAGCCUUGAUGUGUAGGAUAGGUGGGAGGCUUUGAAGCGUGG